RNAcentral lists this ribosomal RNA (375 nucleotides) under uncultured bacterium. Its description in RNAcentral is "bacterial SSU rRNA". It matches the Rfam family "Bacterial small subunit ribosomal RNA", at positions 523 to 897 of the family's 1533-position model. The record is from RNAcentral.
AUACGUAGGGAGCAAGCGUUGUCCGGAUUUACUGGGCGUAAAGGGAGCGUAGGCGGCUUUUUAAGUCGGGUGUGAAAACUAUGGGCUUAACUUAUGGGCUGCAUUUGAAACUGUUUAGCUAGAGUGCAGGAGAGGAAGGCAGAAUUCCCGGUGUAGCGGUGAAAUGCGUAGAGAUCAGGAGGAAAACCAGUGGCGAAGGCGGCUUCCUGGGCUUUAACUGACGCUGAGGCACGAAAGCGUGGGGAGCAAACAGGAUUAGAUACCCUGGUAGUCCAUGCCGUAAACGAUGAUUACUAGGUGUGGGGGUUCUGAUCCCUUCCGUGCCGGAGUUAACGCAUUAAGUAAUCCGCCUGGGGAGUACGGUCGCAAGAUUAA